AUCCAGCUGACGAGUGUCAAAUAGGACGAAGUGACGCCCGUCCUGGAU
Molecule: non-coding RNA, 48 nt
Organism: Schistosoma rodhaini
Lineage: Eukaryota; Metazoa; Platyhelminthes; Trematoda; Strigeidida; Schistosomatidae
Source: Rfam